This 27-nucleotide non-coding RNA is filed under the name Bombyx mori (domestic silkworm). The record is from RNAcentral. Lineage: Eukaryota; Metazoa; Arthropoda; Insecta; Lepidoptera; Bombycidae.
UAGAAACGGAUCUUUCUUAGCUAGCCU